CAGAGUGUAGUUCAACUAGAAGAACAUUUCCCUUACACUGAAAAAAAGCCCGUGCAAAUCGAGCCACCCUGA
Molecule: transfer RNA, 72 nt
Filed under: Sebastapistes fowleri (pigmy scorpionfish)
Lineage: Eukaryota; Metazoa; Chordata; Actinopteri; Perciformes; Scorpaenidae
Description: tRNA-Val
Rfam family: tRNA
About the family: Transfer RNA (tRNA) molecules are approximately 80 nucleotides in length. Their secondary structure includes four short double-helical elements and three loops (D, anti-codon, and T loops).
Source: RNAcentral